GACGAACGCUGGCGGCGUGCUUAACACAUGCAAGUCGAACGGAAAGGCCCUGCUUUUGCGGGGUGCUCGAGUGGCGAACGGGUGAGUAACACGUGAGUAACCUGCCCUUGACUUUGGGAUAACUUCAGGAAACUGGGGCUAAUACCGGAUAGGAGCUCCUGCUGCACGGUGGGGGUUGGAAAGUUUCGGCGGUUGGGGAUGGACGCGCGGCUCAUCAGCUUGUUGGCGGGGUAGUGGCUUACCAAGGCUUUGACGGGUAGCCGGCCUGAGAGGGUGACCGGGGACAUUGGGACUGGGGUACGGCGCAGAGUCCUACGGGAGGCAGCAGUGGGGAAGAUUGCGCAGUGGGCGGGAGCCUGAUGCAGCGGCGCCGCGUGCGGGAUGACGGCCUUCGGGUUGUAAACCGCUUUGGCCUGUGACGAAGCGUGAGUGACGGUAAUGGGUAAAGAAGCACCGGCUAACUACGUG
This 468-nucleotide ribosomal RNA is filed under the name uncultured bacterium. RNAcentral's name for it is "partial 16S ribosomal RNA". It matches the Rfam family "Bacterial small subunit ribosomal RNA", at positions 28 to 507 of the family's 1533-position model. The record is from RNAcentral.